CACGUAGGGGGCAAGCGUUGUCCGGAAUAAUGGGGCGAAAAGAGCUCGUAGGCGGCUAAGUAAGUCGGGUGGGAAACCUCCGGGCUCAACCCGGGAACUGCGUCCGAUACUGGAAGGCUUGAAUCCGGGAGAGGGAUGUGGAAUUCCAGGUGUAGCGGUGAAAUGCGUAGAUAUCUGGAGGAACACCGGUGGCGAAGGCGACAUCCUGGACCGGUAUUGACGCUGAGGCGCGAAAGCCAGGGGAGCAAACGGG
This 253-nucleotide ribosomal RNA is filed under the name uncultured bacterium. RNAcentral describes it as "partial 16S ribosomal RNA". It matches the Rfam family "Bacterial small subunit ribosomal RNA", at positions 524 to 776 of the family's 1533-position model. The record is from RNAcentral.